AAAUAUGUCAAAUUUAAAUUAAAAAUCAAAAUUUACAGGCUUUAACAAAUAGUUUUAAGAUAGUGGUUUUCUCAACGAUAACUCAAAUAACAAUGUCAAAUAGACCCAAUGUAUCCUCCAAAAUUAGCAUCAGAAAUAAGACAAAAAAAAAAUGACCAUUCUAAAGAACUCAUUAGGAUAGCUGAAAAACAGAUUUAAGAUUAAACUGAUAUUAGAAGGGACAUAUUUGGGUUUUGUUUUGAUAUAGUGGUGAAGUAUUUGUCGAGAACACGAAUGAAGAGUGUCUAAGAUCGAAUUCAAAUGCAACAGCAAACAAUAUGCAACAAACUUUAAGAAAAACAGAUUUUGUAACCAGAUACUUACGUCCAAUGAUAUUCACAUUUCCACUUUUCACAACACCCAGACAAUAUAUAUUUGUAUUGCCCUGUAGAUAGUAUUAAAUUAAAAACUUCAGUUGUAAUCCAAGAGGCAGGAAUAAGAUAUCAGAACACUUGAGGUAAAACUUUA
This 507-nucleotide unclassified non-coding RNA is filed under the name Hevea brasiliensis (rubber tree). Lineage: Eukaryota; Viridiplantae; Streptophyta; Magnoliopsida; Malpighiales; Euphorbiaceae. The record is from RNAcentral.